AACGAACGCUGGCGGCGUGGAUAAGACAUGCAAGUCGAACGGGACAAUGUUGUAGCAAUAUGAUGUUGUUCAGUGGCGAACGGGUGCGUAACACGUGGAUACAUUCCGGGAAGCGGGGGAUAGCCCAGGGAAACUUGGAUUAAUACCGCAUGUGGUCGAAAGACUAAAGACGGGGAUCGAAAGACCUGUCACUUCCUGAUUGGUCCGCGGCCUAUCAGCUAGUUGGUGAGGUAAUGGCUCACCAAGGCUACGACGGGUAGCUGGUCUAAGAGGACGACCAGCCACACUGGAACUGAGACACGGUCCAGACACCUACGGGUGGCAGCAGUCGAGAAUCUUUCACAAUGGGGGCAACCCUGAUGGAGCGACGCCGCGUGGAGGAUAAGGUCUUCGGAUUGUAAACUCCUGUCAUGCGAGAGCAAUGUGCGCAGGCUAAUACCCUGCAAAACUGAUAGUAUCGCAAGAGGAAGAGACGGCUAACUCUGUGCCAGCAGCCGCCGCAG
RNAcentral lists this ribosomal RNA (503 nucleotides) under uncultured bacterium. Its description in RNAcentral is "partial 16S ribosomal RNA". It matches the Rfam family "Bacterial small subunit ribosomal RNA", at positions 29 to 523 of the family's 1533-position model. The record is from RNAcentral.